This is a long non-coding RNA of Chinchilla lanigera (long-tailed chinchilla), 2020 nucleotides long. RefSeq lists it as uncharacterized. The record is from RefSeq and is a predicted model, not a curated record. NCBI's taxonomy places the organism in Eukaryota, Metazoa, Chordata, Mammalia, Rodentia, Chinchillidae. The transcript is spliced from 4 exons.
AGGAGCUAGCAGAGGGAGAGGAAGGAAGGCUGCUGCUCCCUGGGGUCAUGCUUGUCCCUGAAGUGGUUGAUGCGUGACAGUACCAACGACUCAGAGCUACCCCAGUGAACUACUCCAAAGCCAGAAGCAAAGCUGCCUUUGACUGUUGACCCAGGACAUAGGGCUCUUGUUACCUCACAGGCAUCAGUGGCUAGCACAGACACAUGAAAUUCACAUGUGCGUGUGACACGGGACUGGCGCACAAGGAGACGGUGCCUGGCUGGUCCUCACAUGAGUACAAGUAAUCCUUUAAGUCAAAGCAGUUACAUAACUGCAAAGAAAUUCGAUGCCAAUCUCCCUGUGCUCACAAAUGCAGCCCUGGCAGGCGGGCCGCUGUGACCUCAGUCACACGUCGUAAGCCUGUGCGUCACCCGCGGGGCUCUCUGAGCCUGCAUUGUGAUUUUUGUUCAGGGAGCUGCGGCAGCUGGAUUUUAUUUCGUGUUUGUUUUAUGGAUUCUGCUGCUUGUGUUCACACCGGGCAGGACCCCGUGGAACAGGACCUGCUUUGCAGGCCUCUGUGCUAGAACAACACGGUCUCUGUUGGCCUCCUAUUGCUAGGAAGGAAUGGGAUCUGAACAAAACAGGCGCACGGCGUGGAAGGGGCCGUGCAUCUCCUUUCAGCUCUGCCUUCCUGGAAAGCCUUCAGUAGCUCGGAUGCUGACUCCCCGGUCACACACGUCCCGCUGUGAGGAGUCACAGUCUGCCAGGCUGCUGGCCACCACAGGAAGAAGACACUGACUUCAGGACAGGACUGUGCCUUCUCCCUGCUGCUCACUCAGUGAGAGGCUUUGUGCUGACUCUCCAGAGAAACCGCACUGACAAGAGACAGAUGUGGAUACGGACGGGAUGUCGGUACUGAGACAGAGACAUGUGGACAGAUGGGAGCAGACAGGCAGACAGGAUUAUUGUCAAGCUCUUCUGUUGCAACAUCUUUCCCUGAAGAAAGUAGCCGUCUGCAUGACUCACUGACACGAUAAUAUUUACAUCCAUGCUGUAAUGGACUCUACCAUACUGUUUUGUUUUUUAAAAAUUGAUUUUACUAGCAGGUUUUUGUGUGCCUGACCUGUCUUAAUUCUGUCUGCGUUCCCUUCCCUUCCCUCCGCCACUGUUCCUUUCCCUUUUGCAGGGAUUUAUCUCCCUGCUUCACUUUAAAAAGGUUUUACGGCCCACUAAAAUGUUAUCCUGAUCCAACAAUGCACUGCAAACCACACUUUGAAAACUACUGCUCUACUUCCUGGGCUGUAAGUGCCACCCUGCUCUCCGGGCCUGACCUGGAAAACAUGUUUUACCUUCUGUGCCUUGUCCUGUUGGGAAGCAGAGCACGCCUUCCUCACCCUGGCCACUGGGUCCCCUGAACGUGGACUGCGUUCAGCCCGUGGUCUCCCUCAUGGGAAGUUGCACGGCGUGGCCCCCACACCAUGCCAUUUGCUUCCUUAAUAAUGGAGGUUUUAGAGCACUGUAGGAAGCUUGGACAGUAGGAACCACAUUCGUGACCUUGACCUCGGUGGAGGGGCCCACACUGGCACCCUGCGCCUCCCCGCACCCUGGGCUCCCUGUGACGGGAGGGGUGUCGGCUGCUGAACUUCAGUGCAGGGGCACAGGAUGCUCUGCCUCCUCCUCGCCAGCCUGGGAGGGGAUGCCCCAGCGGGGGAGGCUGCGGGCCGGAGGGGAGGUGCCGAGCAGCUCUGCCCCAGUCAUGGGCUGCAGCAGCAGGUGAGUGAGUCGGCCCCCUUAAGACAGCGGGACCUCUGCUCCGAAGAGCCCACUCGCAGGCUGCAAGAAAACUGACCCGAGGAUUUUGAAGCAGGGAGCUUGGGCGUGGUUUCACAAAGGUGAGCGACACAACAUAAAAGAGUGCACAUGUGACGUCAGAUCCUGAAUCGAUUCAAAACAUUUCCCUUUCAAUGUCAUUUUGACUUUGGGAGGAGCCAGAAGCCACAGGGCGCAGAUCCCAUGAAUGAAGUGGAAGAGGACGCGGGUC